This 106-nucleotide small nuclear RNA is filed under the name Myotis brandtii (Brandt's bat). Lineage: Eukaryota; Metazoa; Chordata; Mammalia; Chiroptera; Vespertilionidae. The record is from RNAcentral.
AUGCUCGCUACGGCAGCACAUAUACUAAAAUUGGAAUGAUACGGAGUAGGUUAGCAUGGCCCCUGCGCAAGGAUGACCGCAAAUUCGAGUGUUCCAUAUUAUUUUU